Molecule: transfer RNA, 72 nt
Filed under: Allobates femoralis (brilliant-thighed poison frog)
Lineage: Eukaryota; Metazoa; Chordata; Amphibia; Anura; Aromobatidae
Description: tRNA-Thr
Rfam family: tRNA
About the family: Transfer RNA (tRNA) molecules are approximately 80 nucleotides in length. Their secondary structure includes four short double-helical elements and three loops (D, anti-codon, and T loops).
Source: RNAcentral
GCACUAGUAGCUUAAAUAUUAAAGCAUUGGUCUUGUAAACCAAAGACUAAAGUUUAAAAUCUUUCUAGUGUU